ACCAGCUGACGAGUCCCAAAUGGGACGAAAUGCGCGUUGUACCGGAU
Molecule: non-coding RNA, 47 nt
Filed under: Trichobilharzia regenti
Lineage: Eukaryota; Metazoa; Platyhelminthes; Trematoda; Strigeidida; Schistosomatidae
Source: RNAcentral